Long non-coding RNA from Canis lupus familiaris (dog), 836 nucleotides. RefSeq lists it as uncharacterized. The record is from RefSeq and is a predicted model, not a curated record. NCBI's taxonomy places the organism in Eukaryota, Metazoa, Chordata, Mammalia, Carnivora, Canidae. The transcript has 2 exons.
GCAAGUGAUCUAAGAGACAGAUCCAAAACCCUAGACAGAAGUCACACAGUCUUUUAUAACCCAAGCUCAGAAGUGAUAUACUAUCACCUGUGCCAUAUAGAUGGCCCCUGGAACCAUGUGGAAGGGGACUACAUAAGUGUGUCACCAUCAAGAGGUAGAGAUGAUUGUGGGCCUGUUUGAGGGGUAUCGCAGUGAUGUGUUCUAGAAAGCAGUGAGGAACCGAACUGAAAAGAAGAGAAACUGAAAGUAGGGAAGGCGAUGAAGAAGUUAUCAAGAAUGACCAAGUGAGAAGUGGUGAAGGCUUGAAGUAAGGCAACACCAUGGGAACGGAUGGAAGAGGACCAUGGGCUAUGAAAGAGGUGACAAUGAAUGAAACCUAAUGCGUAGAUUGUGAGGACACAGGAGGAGGUAGCACGUGUGACUUGGGUUUUCUUGGCUUCAGUAACCGGUUGGAUGGAGGAGCUAUUAACUGUUAACCAGGUGCAUGAGGAGUAGCUGGCCAAGGAAAGAGAGGGCAAAUUGGUACCCUUUCACAAUUCAUACUGUGCCAUCAAUAAGCAAUUGAUUAAACACAUCCGGAGCUUAGGAGAUAAAUAUCUGUGGGGAAUUUUGGAAGUUCUCAUUGUGAGGAUGGUGAUGUAGAUGAUGGCAAAGGGAGGAGAAAGAAACAGAAGGAGAAUGAGAAGAAAAGAGAAGCAGAAGGGAAGGGGAAGAGGGAAGAUGUCUGAACUUUUAUAUGAUUUGUUACAAUUAACCACUUCAAUACGUUCUUUGGGUAAACUACUAUGGCUACUGGAGCCAUAUGGUUAUUAAAUCAAAAUAAAAAUCUACACUGA